This 125-nucleotide ribosomal RNA is filed under the name Chaetothyriales sp. RNAcentral's name for it is "partial small subunit ribosomal RNA". It matches the Rfam family "Eukaryotic small subunit ribosomal RNA", at positions 1657 to 1779 of the family's 1831-position model. Lineage: Eukaryota; Fungi; Ascomycota; Eurotiomycetes; Chaetothyriales. The record is from RNAcentral.
CCUUUGUACACACCGCCCGUCGCUACUACCGAUUGAAUGGCUCAGUGAGGCCUUGGGAUUGGCCAGGGGAGGUGGGCAACGACCACUCAGAGCCGGAAACUUGGUCAAACUUGGUCAUUUAGAGG